RNAcentral lists this non-coding RNA (86 nucleotides) under Candidatus Kentrum sp. FW. Lineage: Bacteria; Pseudomonadati; Pseudomonadota; Gammaproteobacteria. The record is from RNAcentral.
UACUAUGGCGAGCUGUACGGGCAGUCUUCGGACUGGCCGGUUAACUUCUUGUCCGGUAUUGCUCCCCCGUAUAGCCCGCCUCCUUC